GGCAUCCGGAUGGCGACUGCGGGAAAUCGAGUUCUCAUGCUGGGGCGAAAGGACCGUCCGCCCGCUCGGAAGAGGCGAAUCUCCCACGGCAGACGUCUGGGUGUGCGAAUGCCAGUUGAGCGGGGCCUCGAGGACGCGUCACACACAGCGAGGAUUUGAGGAGGGAAGCGCCUUCCAGAGCUUCAGAGAAGAGGCAGAAGUGUGCAAACAGGAGCAGGUCCAAGAUUUGCAUGGCCAGAAGCAAUUCUUGAUCCUCUUGGCUAGAUUCGAAGAUUUGGCCACCUCCAGACGCUACCACACUCUGGGACAGUGGGAGAUUUGGAACAGCUUUGAGAAGAGCAAGGUGAGCUGGGACUUCCUGGAGCAGGCUGCCCAGGAAAAGCCAUUCCAUGGCAGAACUUGCGAGGGUGAGGUCGAGGGUUAAGGGAUAAGCGGGCAGAGGGUAGAAAUCCAAUUGGGCUAUUCCUAAAGCAUCCCCAGUCGCUUGGUUUUCCACUCUUCACCGAUGCUGCACUAAUGCCACGUAGGUCCAUCCCCGCAUAUGACACCAGGGAUUUUAUUCUGACCUCACAAGAUCCCAGGAUGAUGGCUCACAAAGGGCUUCCCUGGUUAUUUACUUCUGACUCUUGAAAGCUUAAAGAAAUUGUGCCUGAGAGGUUCAGUACCUUGUCCAGGGACACCCAGUUUGUGCAGAGCCGGGAGGAAAACACAGUUCAGUUCACUGUCACAGGUGAGUCACCAAAAACAUCCUAUAAAAAGACCUUUUGAGAAACUGUAACCCCGUUAAAACUAGUUAAAAAUUCUUGCCUUAAAGCAUUCCAUAUUCAUUUUACUUGGCUUUCUGUGGAUUUUCUCCCAUGAGAGACAAGCAGUAUUAAUCGGAAAACGGUUAAGUGGUGCAGCCUGAGUGUUUUGCUGUGUUAAUUUUAAUAAAAGAACAGUGCCUUAUCCUUCAAGUACUUUAAUUAAUCCUCUGUUGUGUUGUUUCUGUUAGUCAUUCAGAAAAACUGAAGUAUCAUUUAACCAUGGAAAAGUGCAUAUUCCGUUGAUGAAAAGCGUAGGUUUUAGUCCACUUGAGCAUUUCUGAGUCUUAGGUGGUAGGUGGUGCUGCCUCUGCAGUUCUUCCUGGGCCUCCCUGCUGAGCCAUCACAGUUCUAUGCUCUCCCACAAGCUGCAGAAAACCAGCCAAUCUCACACAAGCUCUUUAUUCAUUUCCCAGGCAGCUCUUUAUUCAUUCUCCACUUGGCAUUGUAAUGGAUUUAUGAGGCUUAUAAGGGUCUGUAUGUAAAUGAAAUAAAAAUAGAAAUAGAUGAACCCAGUCUUGAGGGAAAAUAUAUGUGGUUUCAACAUAAACUCUGAUAUUUGCUCUUGGUGUAACCCAGGUUCCCUGGAUUUUCCUGUACACUCUUUGAACCCACUUUGAACCCACUUGUAACUGUUGCACUUUGAGUUCUUGUUGUUUCAAAAAGUUCCAGGAAGAAGCUCAGCCCUUGCAAAACAAAAAAACUGGUUGGAUCUUUGGCGAACUCUCCUCAUUACCAUUCUAAAAACCCUGCCCAGGGAGGAGCUUUUUGGCCAUUUUCUACACAUGCCACAAAGGUAGAAGCAUGAUCAGCUACUGCACCUGCACUGCCUUUACUCUACCUCUACAUAUAAUGACUUAGCUAACCAGCCCAAUAAAAGGCCUGUUUUCACUCUGUUUGGGGAGACACUGCUUUGGGGAACCAUUCCCAUGUCCUCUUUACUUGUUCCAAGUAAUAAAAUCCCCUUAUUAUGUCCCCCUUGAUUGUGUUCAUUGAUCUGUCACCUGCCAAGUGAUCAAACCCACCCAUUGUGUGUGGAACAUUGUGUAUUGGUCUAUUCUCCCAUUGCUAUAAAGAAACACCUAAGAUUGGGUAAAGAAAAGAGGUUUAAUUGGCUCAUGGUUUUGCAGGCUGUUCAGGAAGCAUGAUGCUGACAUCUGCUUCGCUUCUGGGGAGGCCUCAGGAAGCUUACAAUCAUGGCAGAAGGUGAAGGGGGAGCAGGCAUGUCACAGGGCCAGAGCAGGAGCAAGAGAGUGAGGGGCGAGGUGCCACAUACUUUUAAACCACCAGAUCUUGGGAGAACUCACUAUCACAAGGUUAGUACCAGGAGGAUGCUACUAAACUAUUCAUGAGAAAUCGGCCUCCAUGAUCCAGUCACCUCCUCCCGCCAGGCCCCUCCUUCAACAUUGAGGAUUACAAUUGAAUGGGAGAUUUAGGUGGGGACACAUAUCCAAACCACACAUCCAAACACUGGCUCUUGCUAGGUAACCUUUGUUGAUAAGUAGGUUCCCUCUACUUACUAGUUUGCUUAGACUUUCAUUUAGUCAUGCAUGAAUGUACUUUGUUAUGUUGAGUAUCUUUUCUAUCUCUAUUGAAAUAAAGCCCAGAUUAUUUUCUUUAAUCUUAUGCUAAUCACAAUAUUUAUUGUUGAUUUUCUAAUAUUUAUUAUUGAUCUCCUGUAUAGAUCUGACAUGCUGAUGAGUAUGGUGAGUUGCUUUGAAUGUGUGUUGAGUGGGAUCCUUUACCAGUACUAUAUUUAGGAUAUUUAUGUCUUUGUCAUAAGUUAGGUGAACCUAUAAUUUCCUUUUCCCUUUUUGGUGUUAUGGCUCUAUUAGCCUCAUAAAAGGAAUGGGGUCACUUUUCUCCUCCUUUUUUCUUUCCUUGAUGUUUUUCUCCCUGUAACUUAAUAUGAAAAAAAUUGCCUGUUGUUUGUGGGGGGAUUUUUGUGUGCAGAUUUUGAAAAUAACAUCAGUUAUUAAUACUAAAUGGUCAAGAGCUCCUGGAUUUUCCUCUCACCAUGUAGCUUAUCUUUUCAUAUUCUUUUUUUUUUUUACUUAAAAAUUAUUUUUAUAUAUUUAGGGGGUAUAAAUGCAGGAUUCUUAAGUGCGUAUAUUGAGUAGUGGUGAAUUCUGGGAUUUUAGUGUACUAUUGCCUGAAGAGUGAACAUUGUACCCAAUAGGUAGUUUUUCAACCCUCACCCCCUCCCACUCUCCCACCUUUUGGAGUCUCCAGUGUCUGAUAUUCCACAUUUUUUUUUUUUUUUGAGACGGAGUUUCGCUCCUGUUGUGUAGGCUGGAGCACAGUGGUGCGAUCUCGGCUCACCACAACCUCUGACUCCUGGGUUCAAGUGAUUCUCCCGCCUCAGCCUCCUGAGUAGCUGGGAUUACAGGUGCCUGCCACCACACCCAGCUAAUUUUUGUAUUUUUAGUAGAGAUGGGGUUUCACCAUGUUGGCCAGGCUGGUCUCGAACCCCUGACCUCAGGUGAUCUGCCCACCUCUGCCUCCCAAAGUGCUGGGUUUACAGCCAUGAGCCACUGCACUGGGCCUGUUAUUCCACUUUGUCUGUGCAUGUGUACCCACUGUUUAGCUCCCAUGAAUAAGUGAGAGCAUGUGGUAUUUGACUUUCUGAGUUAUUUCACUGAAGAUAAUGGCCUCCAGUUCCAUCUGUGUUGCUGUGAAAGACAAUCUUUUCAUAUCUUAAGUGUCUUUAAAAAAGAAGGGUUUAAUCAAUCAAGUUUUCAAAAACUUUAACCUUUUUUUCUUAUGCUUUUUUGCUCAUGUAUAAGAAAUCUUUGCCUAAACCAAGGUCACAAAGAUUUCUUCCCAUGUUUUUUAGUUGCAGGUCUUACAUUUAUGUCUAUGUUUUUUUUUUUUUUGGUAGAGGGCAGGGUCUUCCUCUGUGUCAUCCAGGCAUGAUCAUAGCUUACUGCAGCCUUGGACUCCUAGGCUAAAGUGAUCCUCUUCCCUCAGCCUCCCAAGUAGCUAGGGUAGGACUACAGGUGCAUGCCACUAUGCCUGGCUGAUUUUUAAAUUUUUUGUAGAGACAGAGUCUCACAUCAUUGCUCAGGCUGGUCUUGAUCUCCUGGCCUAAAGCAAUUCUCUCAUCUUGACCUCCCAACAUGCUGGUACUAUAAGCAUGAGCCACCACCAUGGCUGACCCUCUGUGAUCAUUUUGAAUUCAUUGUUAUUUUUGUUACAAGGUAUAGAUCAAGUGUGGAGUCCUAAUUAGGGAAAAGGAGUGGCUGGCGUGACCAGGGGAAAGCAAAGAAAUAAAGCAGAUAUGCUAUAAGGUCUGCCUUUCCUCCUGGUCCAGGACAUAGAAACAAAAAUAGAAAGCAGAUAAACUGUAAGUCUGCUGUACUCCUUAUGGCCCAGGACAUAUAGCCCUCCUGUGUAGAUAAUGUAUAGAAUUGACAGAUUUCCUGCUUAUCAUCAAAUGCUUCAAUUUCUCAUCAAACACCUCAGCAGACAGAAAAACGCAAGUUAGCUUCCUGCUACAGUUGCGUUAUCCAUCAGCCCAAAUUCCAUUCUAUAAAGUCUGCAGCAAGUCUUUGUCUCCCAGCAGUCAGCUUCUCUCUUGCUGAUUCAAUCCAUUGCUUUCUCGCAAUGCAUUUUCAUACCUUCUCUAAUAAAUCUGCUUUUCUUUACCUACAACUGUCUUGGUAAAUUCUUUUUACUCCUGUGCCACCAGCCCAGAUAGUUGCCACUCACGCAUGACUGUAUGGGGGACUCUCCCCUUAUGGGAAACACUCUCCCUUCUUAUUUUCCCUUUCCCAACUUGGGACCCUUGGUGGACAAGUGUCUACGCACAAAGACAACUCUAGGUCUCCUGCUGGAGCUACACUCCCAUGGGACUAAACGGUGUCCAUGUGGAAGCAUCUGAUGGCCACCUUCUGUUCAGGUGAGAAACCUGUUUAUUCUGUCUUUAGUCUUUCAGCAGCCGGCUUCUAGUAUCUCCUGGCAAUUGAUGGUAACUGGCUGGAGCUGCUCUCUGGUGUUGCCUGAAGGCCAGAGAGUGAAUAGGGCCAGCAGCCCUGCCUGCAAGGCAGAAAGGCUGUUCCUAUAUUUUCUGAUCGGUAGCCUCAAUGCCUACGUGUGACGCAACUGACAGUGGAAGCUCAUUCACGGCAAAUUCACAUGUUUUGGAUGACUCAGAUUUUCUCUUUCUCACUCUAAAUUCUCCUGUGGAGUCAGCCAGCCAUCCUAUUCCAGCUAAAUCAGCUGAUCUUGGUCACCACCCCAUCCCCAGGGAUGGGCGGAGGGGGUGGCGGCAGCGACAGCAGGGGAGGCAGCUGGAUUAAACAGGUCACCUGCAGGUAUUUUAUGCUGGGGUUUGUAAGGAAGGUGAUAACUGUCGCUACUCCCAUGACCUCUCUGACAGUCCGUGUGGUGUAGUGUGCAAGUAUUUUCAGUGAGGGUACUGUAUUUAUGGAGACCGCUGCAGAUAUGAACAUAGCAAGCCAUUGAAACAGGAAGAAGCAGCUGCUACAGAGCUAACUACAAUAUCAUCCCUUGCUGCUUCCUCAAGUCUCUUGUCGUUAGUCGGACCACUUGUUGAAAUGAAUACAGGUGAAGCUGAGUCAAGAAAUUCAAACUUUGCAAUUGUAGGAGCAGGUUCAGAGGACUGGGUGCAUGCUAUUGAGUUUGUUCCUGGGCAACCCUACUUUGGCUAUAUUAGAUUUUCAGUUCCCUUGUAGUUCAUGUAUCUGUCUUAUUAGUUUGGACCUUUACCACCCUCUUGAAAAUUUUCAGCUGUGCCUUCCUGCACUGAAGCACCUCUGCAGGACUCAGUGACCAAGGAAGAAUCAGAGAAAGAGAAAAACUGCUGUGGAAACCAAGAAGCAGCUGUGCCCCUGUGCUGCAGUGAGAGAGUGCUGAGAUGGGGAGAACUGUGUGCCUCUCCAUGGAGAUUCAUGUGACAUGUGUGGACUGCAGGUCCUGCAUCCCAUGGCUGCUGCCCAGAGAUCACAGCAUAUAAAAUUGUGCAUUGAGGCCCAUGAGAAGGACAUGGAGCUCUCACUUGCUGUGCAGCGCAGCAAGGACGUGGUGUAUGGGAUCUGCAUGGAGGUGGUCUAUGAGAAAGCAAACCCCAGUGAGUGCUGCUUCGGGAUUCUCUCCAACUGCAACCAUGCCUACUGUCUCAAGUGCAUUCGCAAGUGGAGCAGUGCUAAGCAAUUUCAGAGCAAGAUUAUAAAGUCCUGCCUAGAUUGCCAGAUCACAUCUAACUUUGUCAUUCCAAGUGAGUCCUGGGUGGAGAAAGAAGAGAAGCAGAAACUCAUUCAGAAAUACAAGGAGGCAUUGAGCAACAAGGCUUGCAGGUAUUUUGAUGAAGGACGUGGGAGCUGCCCAUUUGGAAGGAAUUGUUUUUACAAGCAUGCGUACCCUGAUGGCCUUACAGAGAAGCCACAGAGACAGAAAGUGGGAACAUCAAGCAGAAACUGGGUCCAAUGAAGGAACCACUUCUGAGAACUCACUGAGGAAAGAGAUAGCAGCAACCCUUUUGACAAUGAUGAAGAGGUUGUCACCUCUUGAGGUGGGCGAGAUGUUGCUUAUGCUUUUGGCUGCAGGUGGGGAUGAUGAACUGGCAGACUCUGAAGAUGAGUGGGACUUGUUUCAUGAUGAGCUGGAAGAUUUUUAUGAUUUGGAUCUAUAGCAACCUUGUGUGGCGUGUGAACUGGUCUGCUGACCCCAGACAGCAGCUGUCCCCUGUGCUGGUGUGGCAGUGCCUGUGUUCUCUCCUAGGAAAAGAAAAUUUGGACAUAGACUCAUACAGAGGAAAGAUGAUGUGAGGACAGACAUCUAAGCCACGGAGCAAGGCCCUUCCCUCACAGCUCUCAGAAGGAACCAAACCUGUUGACAUCUGUUUUUUUUUUUUUGAGAUGGAGUCUAGCUCUGUCGCCCAGGCUGGAGUGCAGUAGCACGAUCUCAGCUCACUGCAGCCUCCGCCUCCCAGGUUCAAGCAAUUCUCCUGCCUCAGCCUCCCGAGUAGCUGGGAUUACAGGCACCCGCCACCACGCCCGGCUAAUUUUUAUAUUUUUAGUAGAGACAGGGUUUCACCACGUUGGCCAGGCUGGUCUCGAACUCCUGACUUCAAGUGAUCUGCUCUCCUUGGCCUCCCAAAGUGCUGGGAUCACAGGCGUGAGCCACUGCACCCGGCCCCUGUUGACAUCUUGAUCUCAGACUUCACCCGGCCCCCGAUGACAUCUUGAUCUCAGACUUCUGGUCUCCAGAAUGGUGGGAAAAUAAAUUGCUGUUUAAUCUACCCAGUCUGUGGUUCUUUAUUAUAGCAGCCCUAGCAAACUAAUACUAAGGCUCUAACCUUUAUCUCCCUCCCCUCUCUUAUUAUUCCCUAAGAGGAAGUCCAAACUGCAAUAGGCAAAGAUUCUUAAUGGACCUUGCAUGCCUUGUUUAGCCUGCUCUCAAAAUGCAGUAAUCUCCUG
RNAcentral lists this long non-coding RNA (7243 nucleotides) under Homo sapiens (human). RNAcentral describes it as "non-protein coding lnc-NUTM2G-6:7". Lineage: Eukaryota; Metazoa; Chordata; Mammalia; Primates; Hominidae. The record is from RNAcentral.